This 554-nucleotide ribosomal RNA is filed under the name uncultured bacterium. Its description in RNAcentral is "bacterial SSU rRNA". It matches the Rfam family "Bacterial small subunit ribosomal RNA", at positions 472 to 1024 of the family's 1533-position model. The record is from RNAcentral.
ACGGUACCGUAAGAAGAAGCACCGGCUAACUACGUGCCAGCAGCCGCGGUAAUACGUAGGGUGCGAGCGUUAAUCGGAAUUACUGGGCGUAAAGCGUGCGCAGGCGGUUAUGUAAGACAGAUGUGAAAUCCCCGGGCUCAACCUGGGAACUGCGUUUGUGACUGCAUAACUAGAGUACGGCAGAGGGAGGUGGAAUUCCGCGUGUAGCAGUGAAAUGCGUAGAUAUGCGGAGGAACACCGAUGGCGAAGGCAGCCUCCUGGGCCAGUACUGACGCUCAUGCACGAAAGCGUGGGGAGCAAACAGGAUUAGAUACCCUGGUAGUCCACGCCCUAAACGAUGUCAACUAGUUGUUCGGUGAGGAGACUCAUUGAGUAACGCAGCUAACGCGUGAAGUUGACCGCCUGGGGAGUACGGCCGCAAGGUUAAAACUCAAAGGAAUUGACGGGGACCCGCACAAGCGGUGGAUGAUGUGGAUUAAUUCGAUGCAACGCGAAAAACCUUACCUACCCUUGACAUGUCAGGAAUCCUUGAGAGAUUGAGGAGUGCCCGAAAG